This 437-nucleotide ribosomal RNA is filed under the name uncultured bacterium. RNAcentral describes it as "bacterial SSU rRNA". It matches the Rfam family "Bacterial small subunit ribosomal RNA", at positions 28 to 507 of the family's 1533-position model. The record is from RNAcentral.
GAUGAACGCUGGCGGUAUGCCUAACACAUGCAAGUCGUACGAGAGUUUUUAACUCUAGUGGCGGACGGGUGAGUAACACGUGAGAAUUUGCCUUUAGAGGGGGAUAACAAUUGGAAACGAAUGCUAAUACCCCAUAUGCUUUUGAGUGAAAUGGAUUUAUCCGCCUAGAGAGAAGCUCGCGGCUGAUUAGCUUGUUGGUAAGGUAAGAGCUUACCAAGGCGACGAUCAGUAUCUGGUUUGAGAGGACGAUCAGACACACUGGAACUGAGACACGGUCCAGACUCCUACGGGAGGCAGCAGUGGGGAAUUUUCCGCAAUGGGCGAAAGCCUGACGGAGCAAUACCGCGUGAGGGAAGACUGCCUAUGGGUUGUAAACCUCUUUUUCAGGGAGGAAUAAAUGACGUGUACCUGAAGAAUAAGCAUCGGCUAACUCCGUG